RNAcentral lists this ribosomal RNA (875 nucleotides) under Podospora glutinoides (nom. ined.). Its description in RNAcentral is "LSU rRNA". It matches the Rfam family "Eukaryotic large subunit ribosomal RNA", at positions 34 to 946 of the family's 3401-position model. Lineage: Eukaryota; Fungi; Ascomycota; Sordariomycetes; Sordariales; Podosporaceae. The record is from RNAcentral.
UUAAGCAUAUCAAUAGCGGAGGAAAAGAAACCAACAGGGAUUGCCCCAGUAAGGCGAGUGACGCGGCAACAGCUCAAAUUUGAAAUCUGGCCCCCGCCCCAGUUGUAAUUUGUAUAGGAAACUUCUGGUGCGGCGCCCCCCCAGUCUCCUGGAACGGAGCGCCAUAGAGGGUGAGAGCCCCGUAUGGUCGGAUGCCCAACCUGUGUGAAGCUCCUUCGACGAGUCGAGUAGUUUGGGAAUGCUGCUCUAAAUGGGAGGUAAAUUCCUUCUAAAGCUAAAUAUUGGCCAGAGACCCAUAGCGCACAAGUAGAGUGAUCGAAAGAUGAAAAGAACUUUGAAAAGAGGGUUAAACAGCCAGUGAAAUUGUUGAAAGGGAAACGCUUGUGACCCGACUUGAGGGCGGGGGAUCCUUCCGGGUUCUCACCGGUGCCCUCCGCCCCUUCCCAGGCCAGAUCCGGUUCCCCGGGGGGACAAAGGGUCCGGGAACCGUACUUCCCCCGGAAUGGUAUUGCCCGGGGCGCCAAGGCCCCGCGGGGACCCAGGACCCGCCCUUUGCCAGGAUGCUGGGGUUAAGGGUAUUAAGCACCCCGUUUGGAAACACGGCCCAGGGAGUCAAGUUUUUGCCGAGUGGUUGGGUGGUCAAACCCCCCCCCUUAAGGAAAGUGAAGGUAGGUAAAAGUUUCGCGGCAUCAUCGACCGUUCUUAAUGUUUUCGGAUGGAUUUGAGUAGGAGCGUUAAGCCUUGGACCCGAAAGAUGGUGAAUUAUGCUGGGAUAGGGUGAAGCCAGAGGAAACUUUGGUGGAGCCCCGCAGCGGUUCCCCCGGGCAACCCCCUGGUCAAUCUGAGCAUGGGGCAAAGACUAAUCGAACCAUCUA